This 913-nucleotide long non-coding RNA is filed under the name Serinus canaria (Common canary). RNAcentral's name for it is "lncRNA (ENSSCAG00000014714.1)". Lineage: Eukaryota; Metazoa; Chordata; Aves; Passeriformes; Fringillidae. The record is from RNAcentral.
CUCCAAGAAAGGCUUUGGGAAGAAAACAAACUUCAACGUGUGCACGUUCUCAUUAGGAGCAGGCAGGAGGAGAGCUCCCAUCCCAGCUGGAUGAGAUCCAGGGAUCCCAGGGAUGGAGAGGGUGGAAAUGGGCCUGCAGCCAGAAGAACUUGAGAGAUUUCUGACAAGUCUGAAGGGAAGAGUGAUGGUAGGAAAGGAGCUGCACAUCCUUGAGUGCCUCAGAAGUACUUCCAAAAGCUCCCAGAGUCAUUUCCACCCCAACCCAGAGAUUUCCAAGGAUCCCAUCCAAAACUCAGCAGGAUCAAGCUUUGUUCCUGCCCUUCCUGGUGCAAGUUUACAGGAAUCAGUGUCUGGAGAGGAGCCUCCACCCUCUGCGUGAGAGCGAGAUGUUGUAGAUGCAAACAGGACGGAAGCGCCGCGUAAACCUCGGAGCAAACAAAAAAGCUGUGAGGAAAACAAGAGGAGCUGUAAACUCCAACCACCCAGAGGGCAGGUGGAACUCUGGCAGUGAAGAUUUGUGCUGCUCCUUCUGCAGACUGAGAAGAGUUGAGCUCUUGAGCAAAAGGAUUUGAUUCCUCGGAGUCAAAACUUUCAGAGUUUGUCUCAUGUCCUCACAGCCUGGUGCAGGUGUGAGAGCUCAGCCCCACAACAGGCUCUGUGUUCUCCACAAUGUUCUGCUUUCUAAGUUUUUUCAUGUUUAGAACCUUCCCACCCUCCAGGAGGGACGCCAGGAAGGGUGGCAGUGGUGUAAGGAGCAAAUGGAACAUCACUUGAAGGUAAUUCCGUGAUUGGAUAAUCAACUUUUCUGACUGGAGGAGGAGAACAGGGACCAAUGUGCUGUGUCAGGUCCAUCUCUAGCAACAACUGUGGCAGCAAGAAUAAAAACAAAUGUGCAGCAAAGUGAAAUAAGGAA